GACGAACGCUGGCGGCGUGCCUAAUACAUGCAAGUCGAACGCUUCUUUCCUCCCGAGUGCUUGCACUCAAUUGGAAAGAGGAGUGGCGGACGGGUGAGUAACACGUGGGUAACCUACCCAUCAGAGGGGGAUAACACUUGGAAACAGGUGCUAAUACCGCAUAACAGUUUAUGCCGCAUGGCAUAAGAGUGAAAGGCGCUUUCGGGUGUCGCUGAUGGAUGGACCCGCGGUGCAUUAGCUAGUUGGUGAGGUAACGGCUCACCAAGGCCACGAUGCAUAGCCGACCUGAGAGGGUGAUCGGCCACACUGGGACUGAGACACGGCCCAGACUCCUACGGGAGGCAGCAGUAGGGAAUCUUCGGCAAUGGACGAAAGUCUGACCGAGCAACGCCGCGUGAGUGAAGAAGGUUUUCAGAUCGUAAAACUCUGUUGUUAGAGAAGAACAAGGACGUUAGUAACUGAACGUCCCCUGACGGUAUCUAACCAGAAAGCCACGGCUAACUACGUG
This 508-nucleotide ribosomal RNA is filed under the name uncultured bacterium. Its description in RNAcentral is "partial 16S ribosomal RNA". It matches the Rfam family "Bacterial small subunit ribosomal RNA", at positions 28 to 507 of the family's 1533-position model. The record is from RNAcentral.